CCUCAAUGGGAAGUGGAAUCUCUUUCUCCACCUCUUCAAUAUGGCUGGCCCUGGAACUUCCCUUGGCACACAGAAUGCAGCAGAAUUGGCUUCAUAUUGUUUCUAAGCCUUGGCCUCAGAGGCCUUGCAUGCUUCCUAACCCUGGCUCUAGGAAACUUGCUGCUGUCAUGUAAUCAAGCCCAGGCUAACCUGCUGAAUGUUGGUGUGUCCCAGUCAAAUCCAGCACUGCAACCAAUAGCCAGCCAGCCACCAGACAUGUGAGUGGGGCCACCUCACACCAGCCAACCUCCACCAAGUCAUCAGAUGUAUGAGUGAGAACAGCCCAGAACAACUGAGCCCGUCCAGACCAGCGGAACGACCAAGCUGACCAGUAGACUUAGGAGCAGUAAACAGAUGAUUGUUCUGGAAGCCAUUCCGUUUAGGGUGUGUGUGUUAUUGCUUGCAUCCAAAUACAUCCUAUCUCAUCUAGUGAGAAAAGGCCCCGCUCAAGGGCUUUUGCAGCUGUAGUUGGGCGCCGGAAGUGUCUUUGUGGUCAUUUCUUACUCCAUACACGGGGAGAUCAAGGCUCAGACCAGAUUUCUGUUGUUCAAAGAAGUAAAC
Molecule: long non-coding RNA, 600 nt
Filed under: Pan troglodytes (chimpanzee)
Lineage: Eukaryota; Metazoa; Chordata; Mammalia; Primates; Hominidae
Description: long non-coding RNA NONPTRT008867
Source: RNAcentral